Molecule: ribosomal RNA, 247 nt
Filed under: uncultured bacterium
Lineage: Bacteria
Description: partial 16S ribosomal RNA
Rfam family: Bacterial small subunit ribosomal RNA
Source: RNAcentral
AUACGGAGGGUGCGAGCGUUGUUCGGAAUUAUUGGGCGUAAAGCGCGCGCAGGCGGGAUAUCAAGUCUGAUGUGAAAGCCCCGGGCUCAACCUGGGAAGUGCAUUGGAUACUGGCAGACUUGAAUACGGGAGAGGGCAGUGGAAUUCCUGGUGUAGGAGUGAAAUCCGUAGAUAUCAGGAGGAACACCGGUGGCGAAGGCGGCUGCCUGGACCGAUAUUGACGCUGAGACGCGAAAGCGUGGGUAGC